Vicugna pacos (alpaca) is the source of this 3557-nucleotide non-coding RNA. The record is from RefSeq and is a predicted model, not a curated record. Lineage: Eukaryota; Metazoa; Chordata; Mammalia; Artiodactyla; Camelidae.
GGUCUGUAAAGUUGCCCGGAGCUGGGAGGAGACCUGAGGGGAAAAAAGACAGACCGGCUGGUUGAAGACACAGGAGGGAACACACGAGCUUGUCGGGUGCCCUGCACGCCAAGGGCAGAGUUCAGAAGCGGGCUGGGCAGCAAGUGGCUGCCGAGGAAAGGGCGGUGUCUGGGCGGCCUUGGAGGGCCUGGGUCCCUGGGCACCUCGGGCGAGCAGGCCCCCUUGCCCGGCUCUGCCACCCCCUGUCCGCUGGGAGGCUGUCAGCGGACACGAGCCCACCGCCUAAAGGCUUUGUCUUUCUCAUCCUAGAAGGAAGCAGCUUGAUGCGCUGAAGCCUGGAAACCACCAGGGAGAUGGACACACACUUGUCCCUGCCCCAUGGGGAGCCAGCUCUGCUCUGAGGCCACUGCCACCCUCCUCCAGUCAGAGCCCCAUCUCCUGUGUUAUGUCUACCGGACUUUGCCUCUGGAAGCUUCCGUCGGGGACCUGUCUUCCCUCCCCCACCGCCACGCGGCUCUCUCCCUGUGCUCGCUCACCUGCCCCCAGCCCUGCCGAACCUCGGAGCCCUCCUCCCCGUGCCCCCGGAGACCCCCACCAUCGGCAAAGCGGGGACAGGGGAGUACUUUUUCAACACGAACAGAUGGCAUCUGCGUGUCCGCGAGGACAUGAACGCUGCACUUCUGUCUGGAGCCGAGCAGCCGUCGGUGUCCAGGUGUUUGCUUCUCAGCCCCCAUCCUUACCCUCCUCGGGUACGAGUUCCUCAGAGCGCAGACUCCAGGGGAGUCAAUCUACCUUUUCUUGAACCCACCUCAGAAUCCCCUGGUGUAGCCCCAGCGCAGGGCCGUAAACAGACAAGACACAAUAUGUAUUUCUAGAUGUUGCUGUUCAAAGCGUUCACCCAGAGGCAGAGCUGAGCUAGCACCGGCCGGAUGAGCACAGGGGCUCGCCACCCGCAGGGAGGACAUUCCAGGAGCGGCCUAGAUGUCCCGAGGCCCCAGGGGGAGGGCGGGAGGCUGGAAGCCAGGAAGCCUGCUCAGGCCCUGCUCUGGCCCUCAGGAGCCGCACGGCCUCCGGCCUGUCUCUUAACCUCCUCAAGCCUCUGCUUCCUGAGGAGGUCGGCCCCAGUGAUCUCCAAGUUCCUUUCCAAUUGCAAGUCUCCUUUUUGCUGAGCCGUCCACAUUCCUUCUCCUGACCUUGUGACUGACAACUUUCAUUUGGUAAAUAACCCCCCAGCGUGGAGAGGCCCGAAGAGACAAGAGGCUGUCGUGGUCGUGACUUAGACUCACGCUGGGGAGGGUCCCUGGAAAUGUAUUCAAGCCGUCACACUGUUUGUCUUCAUUCUUCUCUAACACCCUGGUCACCCAUCGUUCUGCCACUGCAUUGUCCCUCUCUCAGUCAAGAACAGUGAAGUUUGGAAGUGCCAGGGUGCUGCACUGGCCGGGGCUCGCACACGACCCCUGCUCAAGGCAAGUCUGUGCAGUGGACAAGGAAUUUCUCAUCGUCAAACCUUGCACCUCGUUGCGUGCAGUUGAUCUUCCGCGCUGCCUGACCAGCUCUGCAGACCUCCAGUUAAGUCUGGGCUUCCUCCUCCUGAGAAAACGCUAGACCGGCCAGCAGCCCCACACUCACAGUCCGACGCAUCACCAAGAGAUGCUUUUGGCAACGCUGAGGAGAAGUUUGGGGGCAAUCAGUUCUAGAACCCUGAGAAGGGCACGUGCAUCCUGUCCCCUUGAGGGGCAGAACCCCCUCCACUGUCCCCAGUGCUCCCACCCCAAGAGAUGGGGAGGGGGUGCAGCCACCGGAGAGGCAGGAACAGACAAAAUAGGAAGCUCUCAGAGGGCAGUUUAAUUUUAGACUCAAGGCCAGGAAAUUCUUUCUAAAACAAUAAGACUGAUGGGCUUGGGCCUUGGCGAAAGGGCAGGCCUGACCGCUGCAGGUUUCAGAGAGAGAGAAAAAAGUUUGAAGUACAGAGAGCGGAGGCGGGAAGAUCGGAUUCUGCUCUCCGUGAAAAGCGGUGCUUGGUCUCCAGCCCGGCCACGCGGACCACAGCAGAGGCUGCCCAGGGAUGCCCUGGCCCUCAGGCAGCAGACCAGGUUGGGGAAGGGGGGUGACAGACCCUGCAGAUCCUCACACCAGCCUGAGACCACAGACCCCUCCACUCAAGAGCUUACUCAGUGGACCUGCCCCAGUCCUGGGCGCCUGGCCCUGACACUCCUGCUGAGAGAUUCCGGCACUGAGGACUUUACCCACUGCUUCCCAGGAUUCCCAGACAGAAGGAAGAGGCACGUGUGCUGAGCUUCCUAGAAACAAGCACAAGCCUUUCCCGAUUCCCAAGUGCAGGGACAGAGCAGACGCCCCAGCGACCACAUCCUAAGGCAUGUUGGGCGGAGGUGGAGAGCACGAACAGCACUGGUGAAUAGUGUUUAUAUGAAAACAGAAGCCACUUGAAAAAGAAGAAAUAUGUGUCACAGGACAGCCAGUGAAGAGCAGUGUGUUCAUCAGCCCUGGAAUUUUUUCAGGAAAUUGCUCCCCAUCGUUGGAAAAGGACCCCAGGAAGACCUCCCCGGGGGCAGAGCUGAAGAGCGGGAAGAGGCCAGAGGACCCUAGUCCAAGGGUGACCCUAGCCGUGGUCACCUAUUCAGUGUUUGUUUCUGAAAAAUGCAUCAGACUGUGCACUGGGCACCGGGCACUGAGCAAGAAAAGGGUGCCUACAGCAGGUCAGCCUGGACACGGCCCAGAUGCUGUGCAGAUCACGGCCGUGGGCGCCAGGCUCCCUCCUACAGAAGCCUUUCUGAUUUUUAAAGUUUUAAAGUCCUCGUGAAUCAUCAUCGACCCACACACCCCUGCUUCAGAGGUGAGACCUAAACACUGACGGCAUUGAUUGUGUCACAGUGAGAAUGGCCCGACCAGGAGCAGAUUCCUCAGGGAAAAGUUGCUCACCCCCUCCAGGGCCCCGCAGGGCCACCCAGCCCUUUGGGAAUUGUCCAGGUGUGGGAAGCGCAGCUUUGCGAGAGUCAGCCAGCCCCCUAAUUUCCUCCAAAAAGCCCUCAGGACCCCUGAGUCAUCACAGACCUCAAUCAUUUAUUCAACAAGCACACUGAUGGCCUCCUUUGCCAGGACCUUGUUAUUCAUUCAGGCCGUAAUUACUGGGAGCCUGCUCUGGUGCAGGCACCAUUCUGGGGGCUGGAGACACACAGGUUAACCAACACCCCGGGCCACAUGGACUUCACUUCCUGUCAGACUCAGGACAAAGCGGAGAGAGACAGUCUGCAUCUUCAGGCAGUGGGAGAAGACAGGCUCCCGUGUAACUAUAACAUCACGUGAUGAGUUUGCCAACAGCAUGGGGGGCAAUCAGCAGUCAGUUCUGCCGAGGUCUGGGGAGUAGAACACUGCGGAAGGUCGCCCAGGACGAGGUGAGACCACCUGUCCCCAUGGACGUCCCGAGCCUCCCACCAGCAGCAGGAGACCUGGACCCUUCUGAAUUCCUGUUUGACUUGUAUAUCUGUGAAAGAAAGCACUUUUGGAAUGGGCAGCCUGGUCCUGGAGCUCAGCUCAGA